GACAGAGGGUGCGAACGUUGCUCGGAAUUACUGGGCGUAAAGCGCGUGCAGGCGGCCCUGCACGUCCGGUGUGAAAGGCCCGGGGCUCAACCCCGGAAGCGCGCUGGAAACGACGGGGCGUGGAGGGCUGGAGAGGCGGGCGGAAUUCCCGGUGUAGAGGUGAAAUUCCGUAGAUAUCGGGAGGAACACCGGUGGCGAAGGCGGCCCGCUGGACAGCGCCUGACGCUGAGACGCGAAAGCGUGGGUAGCAAACAGG
This 256-nucleotide ribosomal RNA is filed under the name uncultured bacterium. RNAcentral's name for it is "partial 16S ribosomal RNA". It matches the Rfam family "Bacterial small subunit ribosomal RNA", at positions 524 to 776 of the family's 1533-position model. The record is from RNAcentral.